This is a long non-coding RNA of Nymphaea colorata (pocket water lily), 6313 nucleotides long. RefSeq lists it as uncharacterized. Lineage: Eukaryota; Viridiplantae; Streptophyta; Magnoliopsida; Nymphaeales; Nymphaeaceae. The transcript is spliced from 4 exons. The record is from RefSeq and is a predicted model, not a curated record.
UUGAGAUCAUUUGAUUCUUGCCUCUCUCUCUCCUCACGUUUCUCCUCUCUUCACGUCAAUCUCUCUCUCCCUUGUCUCUCUUCUCUCCUCAACUCUCCUAAGACCAGCGUGCUGGCCUCUCUCCCCCCUCUUGUCUCCCUCUCCUCUCUUCUUCUUCCAUCAUCUCUCGCGUCAUCCCCUCCUAGUCACAUUUAUCUCCAACGUUGAAGAAGAAGGAGCGGUGAUUCCUCUAGGCGAGCCACGGCCCUAGGGGGAUUUUCAACACUUCGACUUCACCUCGGAUCUGCAUGCCUUGGGUGCAAUUCCUCUGCCAUAUCAGAGGAGUUAGAGGCUCUAGACGCGCAAAGGAGGCUGCAGUUCCAUCCCUAGUAGCGCAGCAACCCAUCGUGAAUCCAGAAAGAAAGGUUAGUUCGUUCUCGUUUUGGAAUUGUCUAAGUAACGUGUUGGCUUAGUUUAGUUUUGGAUUUCUCGAGGGAGGGGUUGGAACUCUUGAGUCACAGCCAAGAUUCCAUCAUCUUCUUUGCGUGGAAGUCACUUCUAAACUAGGUUUUACAAGUCUUAGAAGGAUUCCAAAGGAGAUGCGCUUGCCAAUGUUGAAAGAAAGUUCAAAUUUGGUCUAGUAAGGGCCGAGCUUCUUCAAAGAGAAACACAGAAACUUGCUGGAGUUUUCACUAGAAAAUUAGUAUUCCAUCAACACGUUUUACGGUGAAAUACCAUCAAAGCCAACAAAGAAGCAUAGGAGAAAAAUCAGCGCGAGAAAAGAAGAAGAACGCUGGUGGUUUCGCGUAGAACGGCCAAGGCGUUUGCAAGUUACAAGUCACCGAAAAAUUCUCGUUUUCCGGCAACGUCUGCCAUUUUUCCGGCCACAUUUGGGUCUAUUCCGACCACUACUCUCAAAGGUCAGACGUGUCCUCCGUUGCAAGAAAAGGAGCUGAACAUUUGGUGGGUAAUUUCGUCAAAGAAAAAGAAGGAGGUGCACAUGACGUGAAAGAGAGAGAUUCUAUGGUGGGUAAUUUCGUCCAAGAAAAAGAAGGUGCACAUGACGUGAAAGAGAGAGAUUCUAGGAGUGAUCUACGGCCCUCCGACAUUUUUGCCAAAAAGUGGUAUGAGAUCUAUACCCCUUCCUUUCAAUUAGUUCUCAACCAUUCAUCUUGAUCAAGAGGGGAUUCACUUCACACGGGAACCAGUUUUUAGCCCUUAAUCUCCUACAUUUGCUCUAAUUGAUCCCAAGAAAGCCACAGUGUCGCACCAACUUUUGAUUCACAUUUGGUGGAGAUUGCUCAGAAAGUUCAGGAACUAUCAAUCUUUCCUAACCCAUAGAUCCCUGCCACGUCCUAUUCUUGAGCCUCACAUGAUUUAGGAACCACUCUUUUAGCUAUUUCACAGGCCAUUAGUUAGUUUUUCCAUAAUUUGAGUCCCACGUCUCUAGUGUAAGCCCCUAGCUUCUCUCUAUCUCAUCAUUGGAUGACCCAACCUGUCCUAAAUCACCCAACCCCAUAUUCCUUGCAUCUAAUAAUCUAAGCCUAACCAUACCUCACGCCCUUGUCCUAAGCUCACGUGUUUCCAAACCUCUCACACAUAGAACUUAAACCCUCUUAACCCGUAGAAGCUGUCCAAGCCCACGCCUCUCCCCCAACUGUCCUUAACCAGCCACACAUAAGGGAAUACCAUAGCUCUAUGACCGAGCUCACAUCUCUUGACCGUAGCUAGGGUCAUUCCCCAGCUCUAGACCGAGCUGACCUUGACCAGUUCCAGCAACAUCAAAUCUUUUUGGCGUGCAUCCUUGGGCUUCUUCACUUGUCGCCCAAGUGGAUUGAGGUCUACACCACAUUAGGCCUCCUUCGUGCGCUGCCACGCACUCAGCCAGGGGGGGCUGAGCUAGGAGGCAUCCCUUUGCCUCACUUGGAGCCGAGGGCCCCUUCGGAAGCGGCUGAACCUUCCCUUGUUCCAGCUUGGUCUUCAGCAUUGUCCGUGUGAAGAAAGGAGACGCUUGCAAUUGAACCAGCGUCGCCCUUGGCAUUGAUGUCGUCUUCCUUGGAGAUGCUCCCAUGGCAGCCGUCUUCUUGGUGUGAUCACGGGCUAGCAUUCUUCUAGAGCCACAACAUUCCUUUCAUCUUCUGCACACAUCAGAAAAGUGGUAGAAUUCUAAAGUCUGAACGGCGAAGCGCAAGAUCGCCUUGGAGAGUUUGCACUAAUUCAUAGAAGAUCAGGAGCUUCUCCAAAUUUGGACCAGCUGCUUAUCAAACAUUGUUUACCAUCAUCAUCAUAUGCAAUUACUGACUAUCAACCAUUAAUUACCAUUUUGUCCAAGCGAUAGGGCGGAGCUCUGAAGGAUUACGCUUGAGAGCUUCUCUCUCCGAGGGCAUCUUCCAGACGCCCAAUCUGCUCACAGGUCUUCCCGUGAGGCUCCGCUCGGGACCGCCCGGGAAAAGAUGGCGGCCCAGCAAACCUCAAACAGACAAGAGGAUACCAUGGACACUGCUGUUCCAGACAAGGAGUCUCUCCCCAAAGUGACGUGGGCAGAGAUCGUCUUUGGCGAAGCAGAACUUGAGGGAGUUGAGGACGAGCCUGUUUUCGGUGAGGAAAAUGGUAGCCAACUUAUGCCGUAAAUUCUCGGCACCGUUUUGAUUCCAGUCAUUGGUUGUCUGGUAGGGCCUUCCGGUAAGAUCUCAUGCAACUAUGAAUUGGUCUUCAAAGAGCUGACCCAGCCAUUCCCCAUGUUCACAGCACUGAAACGAGGAUAUUUUCUCGUCCGUUUAAGAAAUGAAGAGGAAAUGAAUCUUGACCUUCGGGAGAGGACAUGGUUCAUUAACUGCAAGUGCUUAGUGACCAAACGUUGGUCACUUGGUAUGCCGUUAAAGAUCCAGCGGAUGAUGUCGUCUCCCCUCUGGAUUAGAUUGCCUGGUCUUCCGCCGGAACUAUGGGCUUCUGGAGCUCUCAAGAACAUUGCAGCUCUUCUAAAGGGCUACUUUUUGGAGGCUGAUCUUGCUGCCCGGUCGAUGGCUCGCCACAUUUAUGCCAGAUUUUCCAUUCACCUUCCCCUGGGCGCAAAACUCCCAAAUGAAAUAGCCAUUGGGAUGAGACCAGAUAGAAGCUUAAUUCAACCGGUGAUUUACGAGGUUGCAUUUCUGUAGGAGAUGUGGCCUAAACUCCCACCAGCCAGAUACAUGUCCGUACAGUGGAGACACUCAAGUUCUUGGGAGGGACUACCCCUAUCCGGGCUUCGUCUACGAAGGUUCCCCCACUCCAGUGACUUCCAAGGAAGGCGUGCCGUGGCGGGGCGGGGUUCUUCUUCAUCAUUCGCUUCGUUUCUCCUCAAAACAGCAAGGCGGGCUGCGGCGGGGCAAGGUUCUUCUUCAUCACAGUUGUGAAGAAAUAUUGUACAAAUCAUUACCAUGGAAGAUAGCGGUCCAUCAAGGGAGAAUCUUACGUGGACUAAGCACAGAUGGACUACUUAGUCCAGCGUCUUUUGGAGCAAUCACACAUUCCUGGUAUGAAAUCGGGUGGAGGUUUGAAGUCAAAAGCCUACACAGCAAUUGAAAACAACAUGAUAGAUCGCUUCGGAAAGGAUUUCACUAAGGACAAAAUUAAAAACAAGUUGAAGUAUGCAAAACCCAACUUGAUAGUUACGAAGGAAAUUUUGAAUACAAGCGGGUUUGGAUAUGACUCCAUUAACAAAUGCAUUGAUGUUGACCCUCAAGUUUGGAGUGAGUAUAUUGAGUUAUAUUAUAGAGAUCGUAAUUUUAGGUUAUGUCUGAUGUCUUUAUUUAUGCAAAAUUUGAAGACAUGAAAUUUUUCAGAAAUACCUGAAUAGAAAAAAAUACAAAGGUCCAAAGUUAUGAAGGUAUUAUGACGAGUUUGCGAGGUAUAUGGUGAUUCCCAUGCAACUGGCAAUGAAGCAGACAUGUAACAACAUGUUCUUAGAUGAAGACACUCAACCAUUCUCAACUACACCUGCAUCUCAAUCGACUUCAUUUUACAUGCAACUUGAAAGUUCAUUAUCAUUCACACAAAUGCUUCAUGAGGAUAGUCCUCCCAUACAAUCACUAAUAUCUACAACUCUUACAACUCAAGAUCCCACAAUGACAACCAAUAAGACUUCAAGUAGGUCUAAAAGGACCAGGUCAACCUAUGAUGAAGAGUAUUAUAAUUUGUUGCUCGGUAUUGUUGAUGAUGUGAAGACCAUGACACAUGCAUGUAGAGAGGUUCAAUUUGUCACUUGUUGCGACAUACUUCAAGAGUUGGUUGAGACUGGACAAAUAGAUUGUGAUACACAUGUAAAGAGUAUUGACAUGUUAGCAGAGGGCACCAACCUCAUGAUCCUUGAUAACUAUGACACCUGCUUUAAAGGUGGAAGGUUGACAAAGAUCAUGGGGUUGGUGCCCUCUGCUAACAUGUCAAUACUCUUCACUUUUGUAUCACAAUUUAUUUGUCCAGUUUCAACCAACUCUUGAAGUAUGUCGCAACAAGUGACAAAUUAAACCCCUUUACAUGCACGUGCGUAGUCUUCACAUCAUCAGCAAUAACGUGCAACAAAUUAUAAUAUUCUUCAUCAUAGGUUGACAUGGUCCUUCUAGACCUACUUGUAGUCUUAUUGGUUGUCAUUGUGGGAUCUUGAGUUGUAGAUAUUGGCGAUUGUAUGAGAGGGCUAUCUUCAUGGAGCAUUUGUGUGAAUGAUUGUGAACUUUCAAGUUGCAUGUAAAAUGAAGUCGAUUGAGAUGCAGGUGUAGUUGGAAAUGGUUCAGUAUCCUCAUCUAAGAACAUGUUGUUGCAUGUGUCUGCUUCAUUGCCAGAGAAUCACCAUAUACCUUGCAAACUCGUCAUAGUACCUCCAUAACUUUGGACCUUUGUAUUUUUUUCUAUUCAGGUAUUUCUGAAAAAUUUCAUGUGUUCAAAUUUUGCUCAAAUAAAGAUAUGUCAGACAUAACUUAAAAUUACGAUAUCUAUAACAUACCUCAAUGUACUCACUCCAAACUUGAGGGUCAACAUCAAUGCAUUUGUUAAUAGGGUCAUAUCCAAACCCGCUUGUAUUCAAAAUUUCUUUCAUAACUGUCAAGUUGGGUUUUGCCUACAAAUAAAUUAUUUUUAAGAAUUUUCUGCUUCAGGCUGUUGUCAAUCAUCCAAUCAUCUCUCCUAAUAGAGACUGCCUAUUGCUGCAAAAUCAACAACUUAAGAGCAAGUGUUUUGUUGAUGUCUGGAAUUCUAUUAGGCAGAAGAACUCUCCUGAAGCCUGGGGAGAAAGGAGAUCUGGUAUCCCCGAACUAACCCCAAGGCAUAGUGGUUCACCUACCUUGCAACUGAGGACUGCCUGCCAACUCAAGAUUGCUUCCAAUGUAGAGGUUUUUUUCUUGCAAACCCAUGUUUCAUUUGAGAGAGGGAGGAAGAGGCCUCCCCCCCAUUUUCUUUGAGUGCAAAUUGGUCAAAUCUGUUUGGCCAUCUAUUCUGAGCAAGUUCAAAAGGGAGUUUUCUUUCUCUUCCAAUAUAGUCAAUGUUCUCAAAAGAUGGUUUGCUACUGGGUUUAAGAGAGGUUGGCUCUCUCUGUGUUGGAAGAUUGGGUUUGUGUUUGGCACCAUUAUCUGGGGGAUGUGGUCUUCUAUGAAAAAGUUUAUGGUUAAUGAUGCUGAGACUACCAUUGAAGGGGAAAGGUAGAGGAUAGCUAGAUUGUUUGAGGAUGCCUGUCUAGCAUCUGUUAGGAAUGACAAGGAGGGUUCCCUCAUCAGAUUGUGGCUUCUCUCAGGGUGUGCAGCAGGUGACUGGCCUCACCUUCAGGGGGGUCAUUGCUGCCUUCAGAUCUUCUCCUUUUUGAAGAAUGGAAGAAAAUGGAUUGCUCAUGGCGUAAAAUGGCACAACGAGGAUCUGUGUCUCACUAUGGUUGAAGAGCCCGUGGGGGAUGAAGUCUUCCGAAGACCAGCAUUCUCCAAAAGCUGAUAUCCUGCUUUGAGAUUGUUACUACUGCCAAGGUUAUACUUGUUUCUAACCAGAAAAGGUGGCUGAAAUGAGUGAGAGACUCUUGCAAAGGUAAGGCAAAUUUUGCUCGUUCUCAUUUACAGAUUGCUGGAGCGUCUCAAAAGCUGGAGUUUUGCAAGUCUGAACAUGCUGUGGAGAUCAUCUCCUUACUGUUUGGAACGGUUUAAAUUAGCCGGUUCCAGUCUGGUUUUUUGCUGCGCUUUUUUGGGAGCAAAAGUUUUUCUUGUGUUCACUGGCUGUCAUUGUGUAUAGCUGAUUUUGUAUAUGCUCCUUGGAUAUACUCUCCAAUUUCUUAUUUAAUUUCAUUCAGGAGGACGCUCCUCCAGCAGGGUUGUUUCGGCUUUAA